GGGGUAGUGGCUCAGUGGUAGAGCACUCACCUAACCCGUGUGAGGCCCAGGGUUCUAUCCUCAGCACCACA
This 71-nucleotide transfer RNA is filed under the name Marmota monax (woodchuck). RNAcentral's name for it is "tRNA.Val". Lineage: Eukaryota; Metazoa; Chordata; Mammalia; Rodentia; Sciuridae. The record is from RNAcentral.